Molecule: ribosomal RNA, 442 nt
Filed under: uncultured bacterium
Lineage: Bacteria
Description: partial 16S ribosomal RNA
Rfam family: Bacterial small subunit ribosomal RNA
Source: RNAcentral
CCUACGGGUGGCAGCAGUAGGGAAUUUUUCACAAUGGGCGAAAGCCUGAUGGAGCAACGCCGCGUGCAGGCUGAAGGCCUUCGGGUUGUAAACUGCUUUUAUAAGCGAGAAAUAUGAUGGUAACUUAUGAAUAAGGAUCGGCUAACUACGUGCCAGCAGCCGCGGUCAUACGUAGGAUCCGAGCAUUAUCCGGAGUGACUGGGUGUAAAGAGUUGCGUAGGUGGCAUAAUAAGUAGCUAGUGAAAUCUGGUGGCUCAACCAUUCAGACUAUUAGCUAAACUGUUAAGCUCGAGACCGUUAGGGGUAACUGGAAUUUCUAGUGUAGGAGUGAAAUCCGUAGAUAUUAGAAGGAACACCAAUAGCGUAGGCAGGUUGCUGGGACGGUUCUGACACUAAGGCACGAAAGCGUAGGGAGCAAACGGGAUUAGAUACCCCUGUAGUC